AGGUUCAGCUUACAGGCCAGUAUCCACAUCUUGCUGAAGCUACAAGGUCACGCACAAAUCCACAUGUGCUCGGUGCUUUGCACAGGUCGGAAGCUGCUGGCUCAUUCACGGAAUUGCAAACUUGGGGCUCAUCAUACACACCAGUAUCCACACCCCUUGCUGGAGCUACAAGGCCACACACGGAACCACAUGUGCUUGGUGAUUUAUGCAGGCCUGCUUCGACACAUGCUGAAGUUGCCAGCUUCACAGAGUUGCAACCUCUUGAUUCAUCGUACAGGCCGGUAUCCACAUAUCCGAUUGGAGCUACAAGGUGGCACGCAGAUCCACAAGUGCUUGG
This is a non-coding RNA of Dermacentor albipictus, 337 nucleotides long. The record is from RefSeq and is a predicted model, not a curated record. Lineage: Eukaryota; Metazoa; Arthropoda; Arachnida; Ixodida; Ixodidae.